UACGUAGGGGGCUAGCGUUGUCCGGAUUUAUUGGGCGUAAAGAGCGUGUAGGCGGCCAGGUAGGUCUGCUGUGAAAACUCGAGGCUCAACCUCGAGACGUCGGCGGAAACCAUCUGGCUAGAGUCCGGAAGAGGAGAGUGGAAUUCCUGGUGUAGCGGUGAAAUGCGCAGAUAUCAGGAGGAACACCAAUUGCGAAGGCAGCUCGCUGGGACGUAACUGACGCUGAGACGCGAAAGCGUGGGGAGCGAACAGG
Molecule: ribosomal RNA, 253 nt
Filed under: uncultured bacterium
Lineage: Bacteria
Description: partial 16S ribosomal RNA
Rfam family: Bacterial small subunit ribosomal RNA
Source: RNAcentral